UUUUGGACAAUGGGCGCAAGCCUGAUCCAGCCAUGCCGCGUGAGUGAAGAAGGCCUUCGGGUUGUAAAGCUCUUUCGGCGGGGACGAAACGGUUCGGGUUAACACCCCGGACUACUGACGGUACCCGCAUAAGAAGCACCGGCUAACUACGUGCCAGCAGCCGCGGUAAUACGUAGGGUGCAGGCGUUAAUCGGAAUUACUGGGCGUAAAGCGUGCGCAGGCGGUUUGUUAAGACAGGUGUGAAAUCCCCGGGCUUAACCUGGGAAUUGCGCUUGUAACUGGCAAGCUAGAGUGUGGCAGAGGGGGGUGGAAUUCCACGUGUAGCAGUGAAAUGCGUAGAUAUGUGGAGGAACACCGAUGGCGAAGGCAGCCCCCUGGGUUAACACUGACGCUCAUGCACGAAAGCGUGGGGAGCAAACAGG
This 422-nucleotide ribosomal RNA is filed under the name uncultured bacterium. RNAcentral's name for it is "bacterial SSU rRNA". It matches the Rfam family "Bacterial small subunit ribosomal RNA", at positions 362 to 776 of the family's 1533-position model. The record is from RNAcentral.